GGCCGGGCGCGGUGGCUCACGCCUGUAAUCCCAGCACUUUGGGAGGCCGAGGCGGGCGGAUCACGAGGUCAGGAGAUCGAGACCAUCCCGGCUAACACGGUGAAACCCCGUCUCUACUAAAAAUACAAAAAAUUAGCCGGGCGUGGUAGCGGGCGCCUGUGGUCCCAGCUACUCGGGAGGCUGAGGCAGGAGAAUGGCGUGAACCCGGGAGGCGGAGCUUGCAGUGAGCCGAGAUCGCGCCACUGCACUCCAGCCUGGGCGACAGAGCGAGACUCCGUCUCAA
This 283-nucleotide long non-coding RNA is filed under the name Homo sapiens (human). Its description in RNAcentral is "LHRI_LNC785.1". The record is from RNAcentral. Lineage: Eukaryota; Metazoa; Chordata; Mammalia; Primates; Hominidae.